CUGGAGGUAUCAGAAGUGCGAAUGCUGACAUAAGUAACGAUAAAGCGGGUGAAAAGCCCGCUCGCCGGAAGACCAAGGGUUCCUGUCCAACGUUAAUCGGGGCAGGGUGAGUCGACCCCUAAGGCGAGGCCGAAAGGCGUAGUCGAUGGGAAACAGGUUAAUAUUCCUGUACUUGGUGUUACUGCGAAGGGGGGACGGAGAAGGCUAUGUUGGCCGGGCGACGGUUGUCCCGGUUUAAGCGUGUAGGUGUGUGUUCCAGGUAAAUCCGGUUCACUUUAACACUGAGGCGUGAUGACGAGGCACUACGGUGCUGAAGUAACAAAUGCCCUGCUUCCAGGAAAAGCCUCUAAGCAUCAGGUAACAU
Molecule: ribosomal RNA, 364 nt
Filed under: Citrobacter freundii
Lineage: Bacteria; Pseudomonadati; Pseudomonadota; Gammaproteobacteria; Enterobacterales; Enterobacteriaceae
Description: partial 23S ribosomal RNA
Rfam family: Bacterial large subunit ribosomal RNA
Source: RNAcentral